GACGAACGCUGGCGGCGUGCUUAACACAUGCAAGUCGAACGGAAAGGCCUCAGCUUGCUGGGGUACUCGAGUGGCGAACGGGUGAGUAACACGUGGGUGAUCUGCCUUGCACUCUGGGAUAAGCUUGGGAAACUGGGUCUAAUACCGGAUAUGAACUGCCUUUAGUGUGGUGGUUGGAAAGUUUUUUCGGUGCAAGAUGAGCUCGCGGCCUAUCAGCUUGUUGGUGGGGUAAUGGCCUACCAAGGCGUCGACGGGUAGCCGGCCUGAGAGGGUGUACGGCCACAUUGGGACUGAGAUACGGCCCAGACUCCUACGGGAGGCAGCAGUGGGGAAUAUUGCAAAAUGGGCGGAAGCCUGAUGCAGCGACGCCGCGUGGGGGAUGACGGCCUUCGGGUUGUAAACUCCUUUCGACAGGGACGAAGCUUUUUGUGACGGUACCUGGAGAAGAAGCACCGGCUAACUACGUG
RNAcentral lists this ribosomal RNA (467 nucleotides) under uncultured bacterium. Its description in RNAcentral is "partial 16S ribosomal RNA". It matches the Rfam family "Bacterial small subunit ribosomal RNA", at positions 28 to 507 of the family's 1533-position model. The record is from RNAcentral.